This 546-nucleotide small RNA is filed under the name Pan troglodytes (chimpanzee). Its description in RNAcentral is "retained intron". Lineage: Eukaryota; Metazoa; Chordata; Mammalia; Primates; Hominidae. The record is from RNAcentral.
CUCGUUUCCGUAGGAAGAAGCGCCGGGAAAGAUGGCGGCGUCUGUGGUUUGAAUUCCAGCGGCGCCGCCAGAGUCUGAACAAGAGCUGGGGUGGAGGGGGCGGAGACCCGGGGAGCCCGGCGGGUCGCUACCGCGGGGGGUACUAGUGGCGCCGCCGCCACAGACACCAACGCCGUCGCCACCUCUGUAUCCAUGAUGGACUCGGUGUUGGAAGAGGACGUCACCGUCCCUGGGACGCUCAGCGGCUGCAGUGGCCUUGUUCCCAGUGUACCAGAUGACCUGGAUGGCAUCAACCCCAAUGCUGGGUUGGGAAAUGGUGGUAAGUACACAAAACCAGGUAUUCUCUUGAGUAAAGAACAAGGAAAGUAGACAUUGGACUGUGAGCAUCUUGAGCUUUCAUAUCUCUGGGGCCCAGAGGCUUCCCUGAACUGGCACACAGUAGGUGCUCAGUAUUUUUUGUAUGUAUUGAUUUGCUUUCCACCUCCUUACAUAAACACUGGACUAGAGGAAUUGUUGUCCUUUUGGCCAUACUUCAUGAGUUUCAUU